RNAcentral lists this ribosomal RNA (227 nucleotides) under uncultured Synechococcus sp. Its description in RNAcentral is "partial 23S ribosomal RNA". It matches the Rfam family "Bacterial large subunit ribosomal RNA", at positions 1 to 241 of the family's 2925-position model. Lineage: Bacteria; Bacillati; Cyanobacteriota; Cyanophyceae; Synechococcales; Synechococcaceae. The record is from RNAcentral.
GGUCAAGCUACAAAGGGCUCACGGUGGAUACCUUGGCACACAGAGGCGAUGAAGGACGUGGUUACCUGCGAUAAGUCUCGGGGAGCUGGAAACACGCUUUGAUCCGGGAAUUUCCGAAUGGGGCAACCCCUAGAACGGCCAGCUGAAUCCAUAGGCUGGUGCGAGCCAACCCAGCGAACUGAAACAUCUUAGUAGCUGGAGGAAAGGAAAGUAAAAACGACUCCCUA